Molecule: long non-coding RNA, 1339 nt
Filed under: Neogale vison (American mink)
Lineage: Eukaryota; Metazoa; Chordata; Mammalia; Carnivora; Mustelidae
Description: Neovison vison (American mink) lncRNA (ENSNVIG00000004764.1)
Source: RNAcentral
GAGAUUUCUUAAUUUGUUUUGAGAAUAAUGAAAUGGCUUGACAUUACAGUAAAAGAAAUUUCUCAUGUGUUUACAGUGUGAAAUCAAAGUUGCACAACCCAAAGAGGUAUACAGGCAGCAACAGCAGCAACAAAAAGGAGGAAGAGGUGCUGCAGCUGGUGGACGAGGUGGCACUAGGGGUCGUGGACGAGGUGAGGCUUUAUUCUUUGAAAAUGACUCCAUGGUUUAAGCUGUAAACUGCUCACUAGAAAUAAGCCCAGGAGAAAAUAAAGCAGAUUUUCAGCAUAAAAUGCUCAAGUUAAUGAGUGGGUAUUUGUUAGUUCACUGGUUUCGCGUCUUCCGAUAAUGGCCACUUUUAAUGGGAAAGUAAUAGCAGUUUAAUGUAGUUAGGAUUACGUGAUAACACCAUGGCAUGCUAGGUUUUGGGGGCGGGAGACCUUGUUUUAAAACCAAACAGCCUACCUGUCUUCACCUUUGUUCUGAUUUUUCGGUUACAUUGAGGAAGCUUGGUAAUUGGUGCAGUUGGACUUUCUGUCCCCUUUUAUGACAACUGGAGUAAUUUUCUCAGUCAGAUAAUUAUAUAGAUGUCCGUUCACCUGUUUCAGAUUUUCAGCGUGAGGGACAGGAAUACAACAUUUUGUGGUAGGAUUGGGGGUCAGAAGUUGUUAUCUAACAAUCAUUGUGCAUUGUUUCAGGUCAGGGCCAAAACUGGAACCAAGGAUUUAAUAACUAUUAUGAUCAAGGAUAUGGAAAUUACAAUAGUGCCUAUGGUGGUGAUCAAAACUAUAGUGGCUAUGGCGGCUAUGAUUAUACUGGGUAUAACUAUGGGAACUAUGGAUAUGGACAGGGAUAUGCAGACUACAGUGGCCAGCAGAGCACUUACGGCAAGGCAUCUCGAGGGGGUGGCAAUCACCAAAACAAUUACCAGCCAUACUAAAGGAGGACAUUGGAGAAAACAGCGGGAACUUCAUUGCAGGCCGUGUGUCACCCUGACCACGUCUAUCUCUGGGGGUCGCACGUUGCGGGCAGAGCGCAAGGCAUACACCAGAAAACGCUGUCCUGUGGAGGAAAUUGCUAAAGUUAACCCAUCUUGCAGGACGACAUUGAAGAUUGGUCUUCUGUUGAUCUAAGAUGAUUAUUUUGUAAAAGACUUUCUAGUGUACAAGACACAACUGUGUCCAACUGUAUAUAGCCGCCAAUUAGUUUUCUUUGUUUUUACUUUGUCUUUUGCUAUCUGUGUUAUGACUCGAUGUGGAUUUGUGUUUAUACAAAUUUUAUUUGUAUGAUUUCAUGUUAAACCUCAAAUAAAUGCUUCCUUAUGUGAUUGUUUUUCUGCGUC